This 3388-nucleotide long non-coding RNA is filed under the name Daphnia pulex (common water flea). Its description in RNAcentral is "uncharacterized LOC124197463, transcript variant X4". The record is from RNAcentral. Lineage: Eukaryota; Metazoa; Arthropoda; Branchiopoda; Diplostraca; Daphniidae.
UGCUAUGAAGAAGAAGAACUUAGGUUAAAGUAAUUUUUCAUAAUCCUUAAAACUUAAAAGUAAAAAUCCAUUACUUCUUUCAAUUAAUUUGAAGUCACUCUCCUUUCCGCUCCUAUCAUCUUCGAUUUCAAUUCGAUUGUUCGAUUCGAAUUAAUUCGAGUGGGAGGUUGGAACAUUCCGUACCUUUGGCAACGCAACGCAAUUAGGCCUGUUUAAAUACAGACGAAGUGACGGACUGACUUUAGUAAAUAAACAAAAUGGGUAGCCUGCAAUAGUUUAUUGUUUAUUCUGUUUCUUGUCAUUAUUUUUUUUUUCCAUUUUAAACGUCUUCUACUGUAUGCUCUCAACUUAAUUUUCAAGCGUUAAACUAAAAAUCAAAGUCCGUCUAGGUCUAAUCGCCCUACUUCAACCUUCUGUACAAAAUACUUAUUUAAAUUUAAAUUUCACUGUUGUACUUCACAUUGAUAAAGUGAGAUUUACCUCAUCACUAGUGAAUGCUGAUACCAAGAGGCUACUGGGGUUGUUGAUUGAAGAUGUCCGAUUCACAAGAGAUAUUGCAGUGUUAACAGCAAGACAUCACUUCAAGCCACUGUUCCAAACCCAGUUGAAACAAAUAGAGUUAAUCUGCUUGAAAAAAUUUUACCCAUUCUGACAUCAUUUGUUCAGUUUAUGUGUGUCUCCAUAAGCAAUGUGACUAUAGUAGCCCAGUUGAACAACAACAAGUUGGUCCAUGCUUCUGUUAACAAUCUGAGUUUAGACGGAAGCAUUUUACCACGCUCACAGAUAUUGCACUCUGUUGUCUGAUAGAUGUGUUUUCAUGUCAACUUCUUCAGACCGUAGCUUCUACUGAAAGGUAUUUUUCUUUGUCAACCAGCAAUCACAAUUUGCCGAAUCACGAACGAAAACUUGGAGCCGUGUUUAGCAGAAUUUUCAGUUGGAGUUCAAACAGAAAUUCUCGUUGACCCAGUUUUACCGGCCAUCACGGUCAUCCAAGAACUAGUUUCGAGUUGAAUUUGCCACGCUGCGCAUUACUAUUCGACGGCCAUUCCAUCAUUGAAGCUGAAGGAUUAAAUUGGAAGCUAGCUGAUAACGAUCUUGAUCUCAAACAAGAAAGAAUCAGUUUCGAUUGCGAGGCUGCCACAAUCCACAAACAAAUGUGGGCUGGUCAGCAUUGUCCAUUUGUGCGUUUGCUUCCCCUACCGUUACCAGUUUUCCGAAGCCUGCCAACAGGAGAUGGUGAGCGUCUUCAAGUGGCUAAAAUCGCUGCACAAAAAGCCUCGGCUUCCUGGACAAAUAGAGCCACUUUAUCGUGACGUUCGUCUGUCAGUUGCACUAUUUUCUAUGGUGCUCUGUGACGACCCAUUUGAGGUCAAGCUCCGUGAUAACUACGAACUGCGCGAAGAUUAAUUUCGUGAGAGUCUCAAACGUAAGCGUAUGUUGAACGCUAAAAUUGAAGAACUCCGAAGAACGCACCCACUUCUGACGCAAGGUAAAAUUGAUGAGCUUUAUACAAAUCUGGGAGGCCGAAAUGUUGAGAUAUUUGUUCAGCGAGCGCAACGCAUGUACGAGGCGAGGCCGAUGAGAACGGCUCUGUUCCGAUGGGAAAUGGAGCAAGUUGAUUUGAUGGCUUUAGCCGAUCCAUCUUUCCACGGUUACACCAAUGUCGUCCGCAAUAUCCAGGAGAUGGAUCCUGACAGCUCGUGGCCUGAUGAAGAAAUAGAUUUUAUUACGCUGUGGUGUCGUGCAGUCCGCGCAACAUGUCAUCGAUGGCGAUGUUUACUUCGAGAUUUCCCGCAACCGCUUCUCGACAUUCACGAAUUGCUGCUCUUUGGUCGACUAGCCGGAGCUGAACAACAGUCUUCCUGGCGAGCUCGACGAACCUGUACUGUUUCUGUAGCGGCCCCCUGGAGUGAUGUACAGAUCGAACGUGGAAUGAACCAACUGAAAUUUUACCAUGAUUUUUCUUGUGGCGCUGAGAGCUGGCGUCUGGCCUACGGUGCUUGUUGGGAGCCCGUGAUAGCCCAAUGCAAUCUAGCAUGGGAUUUCGUUUCACCUCCUUCAAAAGGAUCCUAGUCCAGCUUUGCCUUUUUGGGAUAAAAUUCUUCUACUCCUCCACGGUCGAGUUUACGUUGUCUGUUCAACAAUUAACUCUACUACUCCAUACAUCACUUUAUUGAUCCUUAUAAUACCACUGAAGAGAUGGAGCUAACUUGGACCGAUUUGGCAAUGGAUUGGACUAAUGCCAAUUUUAUCCUAAAAGGCGAAUUCAACGUCUAUGUCAGAACGGCUUCCAAAUACGAUGAUUGUCGUCUUUUGCAUUUACCUCGACUGAAGCUGACCAUCGGGCUGACCUGGCAUUGUUUGGCCGAUCCCAACGAACAUCUCGCUGAUACAACCCUGUGCUCCCGAUCGAAUUCCAGAAUACUCGAGCAAUCAGGAGCACGAUUCAACGUCCGAGUUCGAGUGGGGCAAAUGGAAAUUUCCUACGUAGUGAAUUUCCACGUCAAAUUCGUAACCCUCGUCUCUGAAGGUAUGACAGGCCCCACCAAAUUUGUAAUGUUUUUCGAGAACUAGGACUUUCAUUCCAGCUUUGCUGAGAAGGGCUGCUGCGGUCAUUCCUACAUUACAUAAGACAUUAUUAAACAUACACUAACGUAUUAAUUUAACGGGGAAAAGGAUCAAUCGCACCUCCUAUUCCCGAACCGGUUAGAAUUGCGUCCCAUUUCUUCUCUGUCGCCAGCUGCGUGGUGAAAGCUGUAAAAUCACCAGAAACAAAUCAAAUUAAAAUACAGACCCAUUUUUACGAGUAAGGUGGAUUUAAAGAGACUUCUUUUCAUGACUUGAUUUCGUUUGGUAUGAUCAGUUUCUAAUGGAGUCACUGGCCUUUUCGUAUCUUUAGCAGAAGGCGAUUUCCACUUUCCGGAAUUCGAAUUUUCAGGCGAAUCGAACAUCGAAGAAAUAUUUUUUCACGAAAUAACAAAUUACGACUGCGAAAAUUAUCCCAAUUUGAUGUUGCACGUUGGAAAGAAUAAUUGUCUGAAUGAGUAUAAUUGUCUGCAUGCGUCGGCUGUUGUGGAUCACUUGCAACUAACUUAAAAAAUUAUGAUUGGAAAUAUUUACACUUUCUUGCUUCAAUACCAGUUUUUGUCCAAAGGGGUUUGUUGGCAUCAUUCUGGAGUAAAAUCACUUUAACAGGAGAUGGUGUUCAAUUUCCUUUUUAUGCUUAAAAUGUCAUUUUUAUGUAGUUGAACUGCGUUUGAAAGGAAAAGAUAUUCUUGAACGAAUUGGUAUUCAUUUUCACUAAAUAGUCGUCAGAAACUGGAAAUAGUUGUAUUAUACAGGACGCAGCGCGUUUUCUGUUUCCCAAUAUAGAAAUUCCUCACUGUAA